RNAcentral lists this ribosomal RNA (1111 nucleotides) under Bacillus sp. BAB-1042. Its description in RNAcentral is "bacterial SSU rRNA". It matches the Rfam family "Bacterial small subunit ribosomal RNA", at positions 234 to 1338 of the family's 1533-position model. Lineage: Bacteria; Bacillati; Bacillota; Bacilli; Caryophanales; Bacillaceae. The record is from RNAcentral.
CGGCGCAUUAGCUAGUUGGUGGGGUAAUGGCUCACCAAGGCGACGAUGCGUAGCCGACCUGAGAGGGUGAUCGGCCACACUGGGACUGAGACACGGCCCAGACUCCUACGGGAGGCAGCAGUAGGGAAUCUUCCGCAAUGGACGAAAGUCUGACGGAGCAACGCCGCGUGAGUGAUGAAGGUUUUCGGAUCGUAAAGCUCUGUUGUUAGGGAAGAACAAGUGCGAGAGUAACUGCUCGCACCUUGACGGUACCUAACCAGAAAGCCACGGCUAACUACGUGCCAGCAGCCGCGGUAAUACGUAGGUGGCAAGCGUUGUCCGGAAUUAUUGGGCGUAAAGGGCUCGCAGGCGGUUUCUUAAGUCUGAUGUGAAAGCCCCCGGCUCAACCGGGGAGGGUCAUUGGAAACUGGGAAACUUGAGUGCAGAAGAGGAGAGUGGAAUUCCACGUGUAGCGGUGAAAUGCGUAGAGAUGUGGAGGAACACCAGUGGCGAAGGCGACUCUCUGGUCUGUAACUGACGCUGAGGAGCGAAAGCGUGGGGAGCGAACAGGAUUAGAUACCCUGGUAGUCCACGCCGUAAACGAUGAGUGCUAAGUGUUAGGGGGUUUCCGCCCCUUAGUGCUGCAGCUAACGCAUUAAGCACUCCGCCUGGGGAGUACGGUCGCAAGACUGAAACUCAAAGGAAUUGACGGGGGCCCGCACAAGCGGUGGAGCAUGUGGUUUAAUUCGAAGCAACGCGAAGAACCUUACCAGGUCUUGACAUCCUCUGACAACCCUAGAGAUAGGGCUUUCCCUUCGGGGACAGAGUGACAGGUGGUGCAUGGUUGUCGUCAGCUCGUGUCGUGAGAUGUUGGGUUAAGUCCCGCAACGAGCGCAACCCUUGAUCUUAGUUGCCAGCAUUCAGUUGGGCACUCUAAGGUGACUGCCGGUGACAAACCGGAGGAAGGUGGGGAUGACGUCAAAUCAUCAUGCCCCUUAUGACCUGGGCUACACACGUGCUACAAUGGACAGAACAAAGGGCUGCAAGACCGCAAGGUUUAGCCAAUCCCAUAAAUCUGUUCUCAGUUCGGAUCGCAGUCUGCAACUCGACUGCGUGAAGCUGGAAUCGCUAG